This 329-nucleotide unclassified non-coding RNA is filed under the name soil metagenome. RNAcentral's name for it is "partial contains 5.8S ribosomal RNA, internal transcribed spacer 2, and large subunit ribosomal RNA". The stretch from base 1 to 120 matches the Rfam family "5.8S ribosomal RNA", at positions 35 to 154 of the family's 154-position model. The record is from RNAcentral.
GAUGAAGAACGUAGCGAAAUGCGAUAAGUAAUGUGAAUUGCAGAAUUCAGUGAAUCAUCGAAUCUUUGAACACACAUUGCGCCCCUUGGUAUUCCGAGGGGCAUGCCUGCUCGAGCGUCAUUAUAACCCCUCAAGCUCAGCUUGGUGUUGGGGCCUGCUGCACUGGCAGCCCUUAAAAUCAGUGGCGGCGCCAUCUGGCUCUAAGCGUAGUAAUUCUUCUCGCUAUGGAGUCCUGGUGGAUGCUUGCCAUCAACCCCCAAUUUUUCUAUGGUUGACCUCGGAUCAGGUAGGGAUACCCGCUGAACUUAAGCAUAUCAAUAAGCGGAGGA